AUUGAACGCUGGCGGCAGGCCUAACACAUGCAAGUCGAACGGUAGCACAGAGAGCUUGCUCUCGGGUGACGAGUGGCGGACGGGUGAGUAACGUCUGGGAAACUGCCCGAUGGAGGGGGAUAACUACUGGAAACGGUAGCUAAUACCGCAUAACGUCGCAAGACCAAAGUGGGGGACCUUCGGGCCUCACACCAUCGGAUGUGCCCAGAUGGGAUUAGCUAGUAGGUGGGGUAAUGGCUCACCUAGGCGACGAUCCCUAGCUGGUCUGAGAGGAUGACCAGCCACACUGGAAGUGAGACACGGUCCAGACCCCUACGGGAGGCAGCAGUGGGGAAUAUUGCACAAUGGGCGCAAGCCUGAUGCAGCCAUGCCGCGUGUAUGAAGAAGGCCUUCGGGUUGUAAAGUACUUUCAGCGGGGAGGAAGGCGGUGAAGUUAAUAACUUCACCGAUUGACGUUACCCGCAGAAGAAGCACCGGCUAACUCCGUGCCAGCCGCCGCCGUAA
Molecule: ribosomal RNA, 504 nt
Filed under: uncultured bacterium
Lineage: Bacteria
Description: partial 16S ribosomal RNA
Rfam family: Bacterial small subunit ribosomal RNA
Source: RNAcentral